ACACGUAGGCUCCCAACACCCAGAAGCGUAUCUGGAAAAUAACAAACUCAAAAAAAAACAAUUCUGUUUCACGUGGGCCUUAAAGUCAGUGUGGCUGGUUUCGCUGGGCAAACAUCUCUGAGGCCAGUGAUGACUCAGUGGCCUCUCCCUGGUCCCAAGCCCCCAGGACGGGCCUUUCCUAAAGAUUCAGGAUCCACUCAGAAUGACCGGCACACGUCAGCGAGCAGCUGCUGAGGCCUGGGAAUGGGUGUUUGUGAGGUCACGACUCAGUGAUCUGACCCAGCCUUAGAGAGCCAGGAUGAAGUCAGGGAAGUGGGUCUCCUUCUUUCUUUCCAAUCAAGGUCCCAGGGAAGGGCAUGAGCUCUGGAUAGGAGACCUUGGACAAGGUGCUGGACAGGAUGAUCACUUCAUUCCUGAGUUGGUACCUUCUACCCCGAGAAGAUCAGGUUUCAGUAGAAAACGUAAGAGAAGGAGAACUGAAGCACUAAUGUUUUUAUGGUCAGACUACGUCACUGCAGGUCCCACAGCGUCAGGAGCUGACAGAGUGCACAGCUCAAGCCUCUCCGUCUCCGUGUCUUCCACCUGUGAGCGGAAAUCCAGCAGCCCCGCGGGGACAGGGAGGAAUAACCUGCUGGUGCUUUUCACUGAUGCAGUUCAGUUUCUGGAAUGGAACUCACACACUUUUGUAGCAGAAAGGCCCAGAAGCGCCUCCCUUUAGAGUGCACACGUGUGUGUGCCUUCCUGUUGGAGAGUGAGUGCUUUGGGCUCGUACACACACACACUUGCCCCUCUGCAGAGCUCCACUGUGCCCAACAGAGGCCCAGGGCUGUACAUGCUGCCAUUUUGGACAUUGUCCUCCUCACGCCAAUGGAACCAGAGAGGAACGAAUAUCUCUGCAUCACACAUGAGGAAACUGGGAUCUCUCCAGAGGUUUAGGACAGCUCAGGCUGCGUCUGCUCACCUCUCCAUGCCCCUCGUCCUUGAGAGCAUGAAUCUCAUCUUCAGAGUGUGUUUCUACAGCCCAGCACCGAGAGGGAGGAGGGAGUUCAGCUAUGUUUUGCUGGGUCUGAAUCUGUAUUUGUGAGCAGUCCUUUCAAUGCCCCAUGCAUGCAUCCA
This is a long non-coding RNA of Cavia porcellus (domestic guinea pig), 1116 nucleotides long. RefSeq lists it as uncharacterized. The record is from RefSeq and is a predicted model, not a curated record. NCBI's taxonomy places the organism in Eukaryota, Metazoa, Chordata, Mammalia, Rodentia, Caviidae. The transcript has 3 exons.